GACGAACGCUGUCGGCGUGCUUAACACAUGCAAGUCGAACGGAAAGGCCCUGCUUUUGUGGGGUGCUCGAGUGGCGAACGGGUGAGUAACACGUGAGUAACCUGCCCUUGACUUUGGGAUAACUUCAGGAAACUGGGGCUAAUACCGGAUAGGAGCUCCUGCUGCAUGGUGGGGGUUGGAAAGUUUCGGCGGUUGGGGAUGGACUCGCGGCUUAUCAGCUUGUUGGUGGGGUAGUGGCUUACCAAGGCUUUGACGGGUAGCCGGCCUGAGAGGGUGACCGGCCACAUUGGGACUGAGAUACGGCCCAGACUCCUACGGGAGGCAGCAGUGGGGAAUAUUGCACAAUGGGCGGAAGCCUGAUGCAGCAACGCCGCGUGCGGGAUGACGGCCUUCGGGUUGUAAACCGCUUUCGCCUGUGACGAAGCGUGAGUGACGGUAAUGGGUAAAGAAGCACCGGCUAACUACGUGCCAGCAGCCGCGGUGAUACGUAGGGUGCGAGCGUUGUCCGGAUUUAUUGGGCGUAAAGGGCUCGUAGGUGGUUGAUCGCGUCGGAAGUGUAAUCUUGGGGCUUAACCCUGAGCGUGCUUUCGAUACGGGUUGACUUGAGGAAGGUAGGGGAGAAUGGAAUUCUUGGUGGAGCGGUGGAAUGCGCAGAUAUCAGGAGGAACACCAGUGGCGAAGGCGGUUCUCUGGGCCUUUCCUGACGCUGAGGAGCGAAAGCGUGGGGAGCGAACAGGCUUAGAUACCCUGGUAGUCCACGCUGUAAACGGUGGGUACUAGGUGUGGGGUCCAUUCCACGGGUUCCGUGCCGUAGCUAACGCUUUAAGUACCCCGCCUGGGGAGUACGGCCGCAAGGCUAAAACUCAAAGGAAUUGACGGGGCCCCGCACAAGCGGCGGAGCAUGCGGAUUAAUUCGAUGCAACGCGUAGAACCUUACCUGGGUUUGACAUGGAUCGGGAGUGCUCAGAGAUGGGUGUGCCUCUUUUGGGGUCGGUUCACAGGUGGUGCAUGCCUGUCGUCAGCUCGUGUCGUGAGAUGUUGGGUUAAGUCCCGCAACGAGCGCAACCCUUGUUCACUGUUGCCAGCACGUUAUGGUGGGGACUCAGUGGAGACCGCCGGGGUCAACUCGGAGGAAGGUGGGGAUGACGUCAAGUCCUCAUGCCCCUUAUGUCCAGGGCUUCACGCAUGCUACAAUGGCUGGUACAGAGAGUGGCGAGCCUGUGAGGGUGAGCGAAUCUCGGAAAGCCGGUCUCAGUUCGGAUUGGGGUCUGCAACUCGACCUCAUGAAGUCGGAGUCGCUAGUAAUCGCAGAUCAGCAACGCUGCGGUGAAUACGUUCCCGGG
RNAcentral lists this ribosomal RNA (1343 nucleotides) under uncultured bacterium. Its description in RNAcentral is "16S ribosomal RNA". It matches the Rfam family "Bacterial small subunit ribosomal RNA", at positions 28 to 1378 of the family's 1533-position model. The record is from RNAcentral.